AGAACGAACGCUGGCGGCAUGCCUAACACAUGCAAGUCGAACGCUCCUGGGGCUUCGGUCUCAGGGGAGUGGCGCACGGGUGAGUAGCGCGUGGGAACCUGCCCUGUUGUGGGGGAUAACCGAGGGAACUUCGGCUAAUACCGCAUAAGCCGGGAAACCGGGAAAGAUUUAUCGCGACAGGAGGGGCCCGCGUCGGAUUAGCUAGUUGGUGGGGUAACGGCCCACCAAGGCAGUGAUCCGUAGCUGGUCUGAGAGGAUGAUCAGCCACACUGGGACUGAGACACGGCCCAGACUCCUACGGGAGGCAGCAGUGGGAAUAUUGGACAAUGGGCGCAAGCCUGAUCCAGCAAUGCCGCGUGAGUGAUGAAGGCCUUAGGGUUGUAAAGCUCUUUCGCCGCGACGAUGAUGACGGUAGCGGAGAGAAGCCCGGCUAACUUCGCGCAGCAGCCGC
RNAcentral lists this ribosomal RNA (451 nucleotides) under uncultured bacterium. RNAcentral's name for it is "SSU rRNA". It matches the Rfam family "Bacterial small subunit ribosomal RNA", at positions 26 to 518 of the family's 1533-position model. The record is from RNAcentral.